This 500-nucleotide ribosomal RNA is filed under the name uncultured bacterium. RNAcentral describes it as "partial 16S ribosomal RNA". It matches the Rfam family "Bacterial small subunit ribosomal RNA", at positions 30 to 523 of the family's 1533-position model. The record is from RNAcentral.
AUUGAACGCUGGCGGCAUGCUUUACACAUGCAAGUCGAACGGUAACAGAGUGCUUGCACCGCUGACGAGUGGCGAACGGGUGAGUAAUGCGUCGGAACGUGCCGAGUAGUGGGGGAUAACGCAGCGAAAGUUGUGCUAAUACCGCAUACGUACUGAGGUAGAAAGUGGGGGACCUUCGGGCCUCACGCUAUUCGAGCGGCCGACGUCUGAUUAGCUAGUAGGUGAGGUAAAGGCUCACCUAGGCGACGAUCAGUAGCGGGUCUGAGAGGAUGACCCGCCAAACUGGGACUGAGACACGGCCCAGACUCCUACGGGAGGCAGCAGUUGGGAAUGUUGGACAAUGGGCGAAAGCCUGAUCCAGCCAUGCCGCGUGUCUGAAGAAGGCCUUCGGGUUGUAAAGGACUUUUGUCAGGGAGGAAAUCCCUAGUGCUAAUAACACUGGGGGAUGACAGUACCUGAAGAAUAAGCACCGGCUAACUACGUGCCAGCAGCCGCGGUAA